GACGAACGCUGGCGGCGUGCUUAACACAUGCAAGUCGAACGGAAAGGCCCUGUUUCUGUGGGGUGCUCGAGUGGCGGACGGGGGAGUAACACGUGAGUAACCUGUCCUUGACUGUGGGAUAACUUCAGGAAACUGGGGCUAAUAGCGGAAAGGAGCCGCUGCUGCGUGGAGGGGGUUGGAAAGAGUCGGCGGAUGGGGAUGGACCCGCGGCUUAUCAGCUUGUUGGUGGGGUAGUGGCUUACCCAGGCGUUGUCGGGUAGGCGGCCGGUGAGGGUGUGCGGCCCCAUUGGGACUGAGAGACGGGCCCGUCUCCUCCGGGGGGCAGCGGUGGGGAAUAUUGCGCAAUGGGCGGACGACUGUUGCCGCGCCGCCGUGUGCGGAAUGUCGGCCUUUGGGUAGUAUACCGCUUUUGCCUGUGGCGAAGCGUGAGUGACGGUACUGGGUGAAGAAGCACCGGCUAACUACGUG
Molecule: ribosomal RNA, 468 nt
Filed under: uncultured bacterium
Lineage: Bacteria
Description: partial 16S ribosomal RNA
Rfam family: Bacterial small subunit ribosomal RNA
Source: RNAcentral